UAUCUUCGGGGCGGGGUGAAAUUCCCCACCGGUGGUAAAGCCCACGAGCCAAUUUGGUUGAUUCGGUGCAAUUCCGAAGCCGACGGUACAGUCCGGAUGAAAGAAGAGG
Molecule: non-coding RNA, 109 nt
Filed under: human gut metagenome
Description: FMN riboswitch (RFN element)
Rfam family: FMN riboswitch aptamer (RFN element)
About the family: The RFN element is a highly conserved domain that is found frequently in the 5'-untranslated regions of prokaryotic mRNAs that encode for flavin mononucleotide (FMN) biosynthesis and transport proteins. This element is a metabolite-dependent riboswitch that directly binds FMN in the absence of proteins.
Source: RNAcentral